AUGGGUGUCUGCCCGUGCGUUACUGACUAAUAACGGGAAUAACUUUUUAACAUUACGGUCUAUUCUCUGACGUGCCAGGGUACCGAUGGGCGGGGGUUUAUAUAUUCCGGCGGUCUAUGAUGGACUAGCUUGCUAGUGAGGGCUGGCGGGAAGAGUUCCGCUCAGCCCCUAUCCUAAGAGGACCUCACUGUAUGACCGACCGAUUGGGACUCAUUGCCCCCCAAACUCCUCCGGGAGGCUGCAGUGGGGAAUAGUGCCUUCUGGGGAGGACCCUUGUCUGACGUCACCAAAUGAGUUUAGAAAUAUAACUCUUUCUAGUGCUCAAUUAUGUGGAUCAAGAAUGACGGUUUCUGUGUAAAAUAUCCUUGCUAACUACGUCACAGCAAUAGAGGUGGUGGCUCUGUGCAUGCGUUAUCGCCAGAACUGUGUGUGUGGGGAGCGCAGUCGGAACUGCUGCCUGAAAAGAAAGCGCACGCGUUAACCCCAGUCUGUCUUUAAAUUCUGGGGUUCACCCCCGUCUGCUGGGCAGACUGUUUCCUAGUGUAUCUCAUACUGAGUGAUAUCCUAAUGAACUCCUGGAGAUGAAGGCAGUCUGCUAGACGAACCACUUGCUGUAGAGCAUCGUCCGCCUCGUGAGCUGACAGGAUACUU
This 651-nucleotide ribosomal RNA is filed under the name uncultured bacterium. RNAcentral's name for it is "bacterial SSU rRNA". The record is from RNAcentral.